Molecule: long non-coding RNA, 2997 nt
Organism: Ostrea edulis (European flat oyster)
Lineage: Eukaryota; Metazoa; Mollusca; Bivalvia; Ostreida; Ostreidae
Exons: 4
Source: RefSeq, a predicted model, not a curated record
GUGUCUAUGAAAAAAAAGUAAUAUACCAUAAAUUGCUGUUUUUAUUGACUUAAAGUGGCUCACUACACAACAAAGUUGUAGUUUCUGAAAUAAGCACAGAAUAUGAGUGUUACAAUCAUUCUUAUCAAGGCCAUGUGUCACUUUUACAUAAUUAUACAAUAAGAUAUAUGCCAGUUCUCUUGAAACACAAUACAAAAUUUAAUCAUGCAGGACCCUAUAUAAAGGCAAGUAGAAUCAAGGGUGUCCUGUCAACCCUUUCCCUAGCAAGGUUAUUUUUUCUAUAUUGAUACAAUAAAUUAGUGCCCCUUCCCCUUUUCAGGCAGAAGGGAAUUAUGUAGUAAAAGAUGUUAAUAACUGUUGAAAUCAAUAACGAAGAAAAACUUAACAAUACACCAAAUUACAUAUUAGCGCCGACUCUCUGUUACGACUGUAUAUAUUCUACACGUUGUUGUACCCGGAAGCAGUAAAAUCGAAAGUGAAAACCAACGAGACUUACAGACCCAAUACCCGUGAAGGGCUUCAAAUUUAGGCCUAUACAUGUAUGCCCGGCGCUUAAGACCAUUGAGCAGUGAGGGUUCUUUAAAAGCGUGCCACACCUACUGUGACACGGGACAUCCGUUUUUAAGAAUCAUCUCCGAGGACCCGUGACAUUCAGACCUGAUGCCAAGCGUUUGGCGAUGGAACUGUCACUACCUGUUUUAACGACUUAAGUCUGUUGCGGCCGCGAUUUGAAUCCCGACCUUCCGCAUGCGGGGCGAAAGCUGCUAUACCUCUAGAACACCGCGGCGGUCUUCCUGUACAAAACUAUUCACAGGCUUCCGACGUUUUAAUAAAGUAUAUAUAAUAAAGAAAUUGUCUUCCUGUUAUCAAACUAUUCACAAGGUAUUUCACACCACCACCUUGGUUUUCUUUUUUACCAGCUGCAUUGCUGGCAACUUUCGGCAAAAAGCUCGAUUUAAGAUGAUGAUUAAACGCCUACUAUACAUGUAUUAUAAACGGUCUUUUAAGGUAUCCUCCACAAUUUUAUGGAAUCAGUUGCCCGAGUCUGUCAGAAGCUGUGGUUCUAUUACAUCUUUUAAAUCAGCCUAUUUGCAGCAUUAUUUCUCAAAUAAGUGAUAUAUAUAUACGAUGUAUAUGUUUAGUUUUCCCCCAGUGAUAUCGUGUGUAUAUUUUAUGUAUACAUGACGUAUAAUUCAUAUUAUGUUAUCUAUUUUUCUAUUCUCUCAUUUAUCUGUCAGUGAAUAUGUUUUAUACAGGACCACAAUGUAAACUAGUCAUUUGUACCAAUUGUGCUAUCAUGUCUAAAUAAAAGAAUUUAUUAUUAUUAUUAUUACCAUUUAGAAAGAACUCUGUCAAGUCAUUUAUCGCGUCGUCAUGGUGAACUAUAAAAGACCAUUUAUCGGUUAUAUAAUCAACCGUCAAAUAUCGUCUACUUCUUCUUAAGUGCGAAAAGUCGGUAAAUGGAGGACUUUAUAUAAGGGAGGACCCUCAUAUUAUUAAUAUCUGGGAAAUUGAAAUCCUCAGGCUUCGGACACCUUGAUAAAACUGUCAGCAUUUCCAUGGCGUUUCCCUUGCCUAUACUGAAUUUCGAAGUUGUGAGCCAUGACUACAAAAGAGUAGGUACGGUUUUGGCCAAAUUCUGCCCGGCGUUUAUGGAAGAAAAUUAUUUUACGUUGCAGAUAUAUUCCUGUCAAAUUCCUAAAAGAGUAACUUAUAGUAACUCUCAAAAGCAUAUGGAAAUCAACUCAUCUACGCGCAUGCGUAGUAUAUAAUCAAGUAAAGUAAGGGCUUUCAGGCUAUUUGUGGUGUUUUCAUGGUUUUUGUAUUGAUAAACUUGUGAAAUUGAACACCUCUUCCCUCGUCGCCCGGAAUAAUUUUUAUAUGGAUUAAAAAUUUAUGAAAUAACUUACAAUUCUUCUUAGUUUCAUACCGGGCGACGAUGGAAGAGGGGUUAAAAUAUCAGUUGAAAGAUGCUAACAAAUUCGCCAUCGUGACGCAAUUUGCGUUGAUCGUGGCGGUUGAAGAGGAAACAAGAAUCAUUUGAGUAGUAAAUAUAUUUUCAAAUAAUAUAUGCUCAUAUAGUUAUUUGUUUAAACACUUUGACAUUUAUUAAAAUCAUCAUAAUAAUAAAAAUCCGGAUAAAUUUAAGCCUAUCUUACAGACCGGAUGCCAUUUUUGUUGUUAUGACUAUAGUGUAAACAGAACGGUGUAUAUAGAGUCCUUCACGGUAACUGCGGAGCUGCUGUCAACGCAUGCGCAUAAAUACUUCCGCAAGGCAAAUUUCAUUUUACGGAAAACGCUGCUUUCGUUUUGAUCAACUCAUAGAUCUUGCAAUAGUACGUUGUUGCAGUGUGUACAGGUGUUCUAAUCGAGACGAUGCGAGAGGAAAAGAGAAGGGGAGAAGUUUUUUUAAGAUUUCCUAAAGAUGCACAUAAACGUUGAAAUUGGUUGAGGCACUGAAUCUGGAUGGAUUUGUACCCAUGCUGAAUGAACAUUCCUAUAUAUCUAUGUGUGUUCUGGGUUUGGCACAGUGAUGUCAGAUCCCUAGAAUGAGAAUUGUUUUCCCACCAUGUUCUUAUAAGAAUAUAUCUGUUGAUGCAGAAUGCAGAACCAAGCAACCAGAAGGAAUAUUCAAAAAGUAGAGCUACCUGGUGCAUAAGUGUGAAAAGAUGGUGUACUGGAGAGGUACUUCUGCUACCCCUGGUUAAAGGGCCCGACCUAAAUGUCUGAUGUCAUUGGAGCAUAUAGAUCAGUUUCUAGCCACAUUGAUGAGACGGAAAGUUGGAUUGUAUGUUGAAGAUAUUGCUGAAUGCUUUAGAUUCUCAGUCACACCAACUUUCACCUCACUUUCCAUGGUGUCAGGAGCUUUGUCAGUGAUAUUCCACAUCUGAAACAUAAACAUCCACGAAUUAUCAAUUUUGUGUGCAUAUGUUUUGCACUUUAAAUGAUUAAAAGUGUUUGUCAUUAUAUAUGUUUUUAAUAAAUAAAUUUAAUAAU